UACGUAGGGUGCGAGCGUUAAUCGGAAUUACUGGGCGUAAAGCGUGCGCAGGCGGUGAUGUAAGACAGAUGUGAAAUCCCCGGGCUCAACCUGGGAACUGCAUUUGUGACUGCAUCGCUGGAGUGCGGCAGAGGGGGAUGGAAUUCCGCGUGUAGCAGUGAAAUGCGUAGAUAUGCGGAGGAACACCGAUGGCGAAAACAAUCCCCUGGGCCUGCACUGACGCUCAUACACGAAAGCGUGGGGAGCAAACAGG
Molecule: ribosomal RNA, 253 nt
Filed under: uncultured bacterium
Lineage: Bacteria
Description: partial 16S ribosomal RNA
Rfam family: Bacterial small subunit ribosomal RNA
Source: RNAcentral